This 270-nucleotide ribosomal RNA is filed under the name uncultured archaeon. RNAcentral's name for it is "partial 16S ribosomal RNA". It matches the Rfam family "Archaeal small subunit ribosomal RNA", at positions 477 to 747 of the family's 1478-position model. The record is from RNAcentral.
CUGCAGCCCGAGUGGUGAUCGAUUUUAUUGAGCCUAAAGCGUCCGUAGCCGGACUAGUAAACCCUUGGGUAAAUUGGGCAGCUUAACUGUCCAAAUUCCGAGGGGACUGCUAGUCUUGGGACCGGGAGAGGUCAGAGGUACUCCAGGGGUAGGGGCUAAAUCCUGUAAUCCUUGGGGGACCACCAGUGGCGAAGGCGUCUGACUAGAACGGAUCCGACGGUAAGGGACGAAACCCUGGGGCGCAAACCGGAUUAGAUACCCGAGUAGUCC